This 209-nucleotide long non-coding RNA is filed under the name Manihot esculenta (cassava). Its description in RNAcentral is "long non-coding RNA (MESC_LNC002590)". Lineage: Eukaryota; Viridiplantae; Streptophyta; Magnoliopsida; Malpighiales; Euphorbiaceae. The record is from RNAcentral.
UCUCCCAUCUCCGAGUCGGAUCGUCUCUCCUCUCGUUCUACAAGAGGUAAGAGUAGAUCCAUAGUUCCUUCCAUGUUUUAAGUAAGUUUUAUGAAGUUUCUUGGGGUAGAAAUGCAUGUGUAGGUUUAUGUUGAGUUUUUGGUUAAAUGUGUGUUUAUGAGCAAUGUAUGUUGUAUAUACAUGUUUGAUGUGUUGUAGAUGGGGUUUAG